UAAGACAGGAAGAGUAAGGUAUUUUUCUUCUUGAUUUCGUAUUACAGAAGCAAAUCCUAACUAACUUUAGGAAUCCGAUCUUAUCUUAGGUUAGGAUGUCCUAAAUACUCAAUACUCAAAAAAUCUACUCCUAACUUUUAUGCCUAUUACCUGGCAACCAUUAACACAACUUUUCACCAGAGCCAUACGCAUUUCUCCAAAAAGAAGUGUGCUAAGUAGCAGAUAAAGGUUAGCUUCUACACUCUUAAAACGAAUGUGUUAAAAAUCAACACAUUUCUUGCGUAAUGGUGAUUUCAACAAAUGUGUUAAAUCUCAGCAAUUUUCUGAGGAAAACUGCACAGAAGUUCUAGCCUACACAAAAAUGUAUUAAAUGCAACGGCCAAUCAAAUCAUCAGAUGAGCCAGAUUGCUGUAUCCAGAUGCGUGAGAAGAACCUGCUGCCUCCUCCUCAGUUUGAUUUCUUUACGGUGUAUUUUUUACAACUUGUUGGCGGCGCCAUAUCGGGACUUACACAACCAAGAAUCAAAGUGCUUUAGAGGUCUCAAGAUGCUCACCUGCCCCUGUGAAAUGCAGCGUGAAGUCCACUCUGUCUUACAUCUUGGAAAUACAGCCAACUGGAACAAGCAUCAGUAAUCUGCAAAAUCCUGAAGCCCAGACUGGAGAAAACCAACCCUGCCUUGUCAGCUUAGGACAUCCCAGCACAUCACCCCAAUAUGUCAUCUUACCUAGAAGUGAUCGCGUUGCAAUUCCACUUCUGGAUGAGGGCCUAACGUGCAGUCUGGACAAACUGUUUGAACUGUAUUGGGUAUGCAACCUGGCCUAUCCUGUGCAACUUGCCUCAGUCUUUGGGUUCAUGCAGCAUGUUUAUGGCCUGCCGAUAACCUCUGGUGGGAAGAGGUCCAGAAUCAUGAAGCUUGCUGCAAAGCUCCAAGUACUGUGAGUGAAGUUGCCAUGUACAUUUGUCCAAAUGUGAGACAGAUCUGGACAAUUUUGACUGUACCACUGUGGACAAUGUGGACAUGUCUGUGUGUGAAAAUGUACUCCUCAUCAAACACUACACUGACUGACGUUCAAAAAAGUAUAACUUGCACCAAAGAGUUGCUUGUCAAAACACUGGACUGCUUAAAAGAAGAAAAAAAAUAUAUUUCUGUGCUUAAUAUGUACUCCAAUUUGUGAAAGUAAAGAGGUGCUCAUGUUUCUCAGACUACUAACCGUUAAAUAUUUUGAAGAGCACCUCCACAGGUAAUAGAGAAGAAAGACAAAAUUUGAGAGAUUUUGCAGACAUUUUACUAAUUUAUUUAUUAACUUAUUUAU
Long non-coding RNA from Alosa alosa (allis shad), 1313 nucleotides. RefSeq lists it as uncharacterized. The record is from RefSeq and is a predicted model, not a curated record. The transcript has 4 exons. Lineage: Eukaryota; Metazoa; Chordata; Actinopteri; Clupeiformes; Clupeidae.